GAUGAACGCUGGCGGCGUGCCUAAUACAUGCAAGUCGAGCGAACAGAUGAGGAGCUUGCUCCUCUGACGUUAGCGGCGGACGGGUGAGUAACACGUGGAUAACCUACCUAUAAGACUGGGAUAACUUCGGGAAACCGGAGCUAAUACCGGAUAAUAUAUUGAACCGCAUGGUUCAAUAGUGAAAGACGGUUUUGCUGUCAAUUAUAGAUGGAUCCGCGCCGCAUUAGCUAGUUGGUAAGGUAACGGCUUACCAAGGCAACGAUGCGUAGCCGACCUGAGAGGGUGAUCGGCCACACUGGAACUGAGACACGGUCCAGACUCCUACGGGAGGCAGCAGUAGGGAAUCUUCCGCAAUGGGCGAAAGCCUGACGGAGCAACGCCGCGUGAGUGAUGAAGGUCUUCGGAUCGUAAAACUCUGUUAUUAGGGAAGAACAAAUGUGUAAGUAACUAUGCACGUCUUGACGGUACCUAAUCAGAAAGCCCCGGCUAACUACGUG
This 497-nucleotide ribosomal RNA is filed under the name uncultured bacterium. RNAcentral's name for it is "partial 16S ribosomal RNA". It matches the Rfam family "Bacterial small subunit ribosomal RNA", at positions 28 to 507 of the family's 1533-position model. The record is from RNAcentral.